This 492-nucleotide ribosomal RNA is filed under the name uncultured bacterium. RNAcentral describes it as "partial 16S ribosomal RNA". It matches the Rfam family "Bacterial small subunit ribosomal RNA", at positions 29 to 507 of the family's 1533-position model. The record is from RNAcentral.
AGUGAACGCUGGCGGUAGGCCUAACACAUGCAAGUCGAACGGCAGCACAGUAAGAGCUUGCUCUUACGGGUGGCGAGUGGCGGACGGGUGAGGAAUACAUCGGAAUCUACUUUUUCGUGGGGGAUAACGUAGGGAAACUUACGCUAAUACCGCAUACGACCUACGGGUGAAAGCAGGGGAUCUUCGGACCUUGCGCGAUUGAAUGAGCCGAUGUCGGAUUAGCUAGUUGGCGGGGUAAAGGCCCACCAAGGCGACGAUCCGUAGCUGGUCUGAGAGGAUGAUCAGCCACACUGGAACUGAGACACGGUCCAGACUCCUACGGGAGGCAGCAGUGGGGAAUAUUGGACAAAGGGCGCAAGCCUGAUCCAGCCAUACCGCGUGAGUGAAGAAGGCCUUCGGGUUGUAAAGCCAUUUUGUUGGGAAAGAAAAGCAGCAGGUUAAUACCCCGCUGUUCUGACGGUACCCAAAGAAUAAGCACCGGCUAACUUCGUG